UGGGGAAUAUUGCACAAUGGGCGCAAGCCUGAUGCAGCCAUGCCGCGUAUAUGAAGAAGGCCUUCGGGUUGUAAAGUACUUUCAGCGGGGAGGAAGGGAGUAAAGUUAAUACCUUUGCUCAUUGACGUUACCCGCAGAAGAAGCACCGGCUAACUCCGUGCCAGCAGCCGCGGUAAUACGGAGGGUGCAAGCGUUAAUCGGAAUUACUGGGCGUAAAGCGCACGCAGGCGGUUUGUUAAGUCAGAUGUGAAAUCCCCGGGCUCAACCUGGGAACUGCAUCUGAUACUGGCAAGCUUGAGUCUCGUAGAGGGGGGUAGAAUUCCAGGUGUAGCGGUGAAAUGCGUAGAGAUCUGGAGGAAUACCGGUGGCGAAGGCGGCCCCCUGGACGAAGACUGACGCUCAGGUGCGAAAGCGUGGGGAGCAAACAGG
This 429-nucleotide ribosomal RNA is filed under the name Chloroflexota bacterium. RNAcentral describes it as "Chloroflexi bacterium partial 16S ribosomal RNA". It matches the Rfam family "Bacterial small subunit ribosomal RNA", at positions 355 to 776 of the family's 1533-position model. Lineage: Bacteria; Bacillati; Chloroflexota. The record is from RNAcentral.